AUUGAACGCUGGCGGCAGGCCUAACACAUGCAAGUCGAACGAGUGGCGGACGGGUGAGUAAUGUCUGGGAAACUGCCUGAUGGGGGGGGAUCACUACUGGAAAGGGUAGAUAAUACCGCAUAACAUCGGAGGUGACAAGAGGGGAUUAGCUAGUGGGUGGGGUAAAGGCACACCUAGGCGACGAUCCCUAUCUGGUCUGAGAGGAUGAACAGCCACACUGGAACGGAGACACGGUCGAUACUCCUACGGGAGGCAGCAGUGGGGAAUAUUGCACAAUGGGCGCAAGCCUGAUGCAGCCAUGCCGCGUGUAUGAAGAAGGCCUUAGGGUUGUAAAGUACUUUCAGCGGGGAGGCGUUACCCGCAGAAGAAGCACCGGCUAACUCCGUGCCAGCCGCCGCGGUAAUUC
This 406-nucleotide ribosomal RNA is filed under the name uncultured bacterium. Its description in RNAcentral is "partial 16S ribosomal RNA". It matches the Rfam family "Bacterial small subunit ribosomal RNA", at positions 29 to 526 of the family's 1533-position model. The record is from RNAcentral.